AACGAACGCUGGCGGCGUGGAUAAGACAUGCAAGUCGAACGGGACUAAAUCUGUAGCAAUACAGGUUUAGUUUAGUGGCGAACGGGUGCGUAACACGUGGGCAAUCUGCCGAGAAGUGGGGGAUAGCUCGCCGAAAGGCGAAUUAAUACCGCAUAUGAUCAGCUAAGACAUCUUAGCGACAUCAAAGCCGGGGCAACCUGGCGCUACUCGAUGAGCCCGCGGCCUAUCAGCUAGUUGGUGAGGUAACGGCUCACCAAGGCUAUGACGGGUAGCUGGUCUGAGAGGACGACCAGUCACACUGGAACUGAGACACGGUCCAGACACCUACGGGUGGCAGCAGUCGAGAAUUUUUCUCAAUGGGGCAACCCUGAAGGAGCGACGCCGCGUGGAGGAUGAAGG
This 399-nucleotide ribosomal RNA is filed under the name uncultured bacterium. RNAcentral describes it as "bacterial SSU rRNA". It matches the Rfam family "Bacterial small subunit ribosomal RNA", at positions 29 to 414 of the family's 1533-position model. The record is from RNAcentral.